This is a long non-coding RNA of Choloepus didactylus (southern two-toed sloth), 5654 nucleotides long. RefSeq lists it as uncharacterized. Lineage: Eukaryota; Metazoa; Chordata; Mammalia; Pilosa; Megalonychidae. The transcript is spliced from 3 exons. The record is from RefSeq and is a predicted model, not a curated record.
GCGCAACCGACAGGCUCCGAUUCGCGCCGAACACGCUUAGUACAUCCUCGCUGAAGGCAAGCCCGGGCCCCACCGCCUUCUCUCCGAGGCUGGCGGCCGCCAGCAGGAGGAGUCCGGCUACCGCCCGGGCCGGGGACAUCCUGGCCAGGGCUGCCUUUGAGGGCCCGCGACAGGCUGGCGCACGCAGGAACGCGCUGGGUGCACCGUCGUCAGUGCCCAAGGGCGCGCGGGUCAGGCGGCGGCGCUGGCGGAGUCAGAGGUGGCGCCGGGCGCCCCUUGUCCACGGACGCCUGGAAAAAGCAGCAACCCGCGAUCCUUCGGGCAUUGAAGUGGAGCCCGGCCGGGGGUGGAGGUGAGCGAUAGGCAGACCGGGCCCCCCGGACCUCCUGGAGAGCCUGAGAUAAAAGGGACAAAGGGGAACAGAGAUAAAGGCCACCAGGUCACCCGCCGACCGGCCCAGGGAGCGCGGCGUGGCGGAGCCCUCGAAUGCCUGGCCAGGCAUGGAGCCAGCUGCCCGGGAACCAGGUUUGCAAAAGCCCCAGGAUUUGCGUACAGUGUGGUGACUGACACACGCUCCUCCCGGAUAUAAAGCCCCAAACCACGCCACUUCUUAGGAAGAACUAAAACCACCAUUAACUGCAAAACCCCACCUCCUCUUCCUCUCUUUCUGCUUAAUUCCCUUCCUAGCAAACUGAGAAAGGGUGAGACGUGCCGUCCCAAAGCAGCUUCAGAAAACGGCCCCUUUGGGGGCCUGGGAUUUGAGCUACCAAACGGGAUCCUCCUUCUCACCGGAUGUCUUUUCUGGGCUUGGAAACUGGCACUAUCUUCAGAAAGUUCUCAUCUGAUGGAUGUUUAUUUCUUAAAGUCUGUGGACACUUGAUGGACCUUGAGUGUCUUCCAGGGAGCCCAGAGUGCAGUUCUUAACAGGUAAUAUGAUGACAUAAUCACUCUGAAGCAAUUUGGUGUAUGGGCAGGUCUGUUGGAAGCCUGUCCUGAAGAUAACAUGGUCCUCACUAAAUCAUCCAGAUUAAUGUGUGGUUGGCUAAAUGACAUCAUUUUCUUACAUGUGUUAUUUUCCUCAUGUAACCUUUGCUUGAAUUCUCAUCUGACAUUUCAAUUCUAGAUGUGACUAUUUGGGAAAUUAAUUUAUUGCCAUAACCAGACAAGAAUGUUUCCAUAUAGUCUUUGUUCUUAAAUAUUAGGAGUGAAUUUGCAUCAAAGAUGGACAAAAUGCAGAAAAUUAAAUUGAUUUUUAAGUGUUGACUCAUUUAAAACAAAGACCUAAAUUAAAAAUCAUAAGCAAAAAAUACUUCAAAUAUGUAAUAUUCUGUGGAAACAAAUAUUGCUAGAGAUGAUAAAAAAGCCACUUCCUACUAACAAAUUGAUCUUCAUUUGAGAAACAAAAACAAAAAAACUACUAAAUGGGCUUCUUGCCAAGAGGCCCAGGUUAAAGUACAAAAGAUUGCAAUGUUUGAUCAACCGAUGAAGUUUGUUACAAUGAACCUAAUUAUACUUGUUCACAAUAUAUUUUUAACUCCAAUUAUUUUAAAACUGUUAAAAUGAUGUUUAUUUGUUUGUUUUUCAUUUCUUUUCUUGGCCUGGAUUCUUCUAACUGCUAAUUAUUAUCCAAAAUACAUGACAAAAAUUAAUAAUAAUAUGCAAGUCUCUGAAAGUUUUCAAUGACAUGAGAGACUUUGUUUUGCUCUGUUUUAGGUCUCGGUCCUGUCAUUUGCAGCACAUGACUGAUUUGUUUAUUGGCACUCACUAAUUGGUCUUUAGCCUAUAUUCUAAAUAUUUCUACAAAAAAACAAAUUCUAAAUUUUGCUCUUCUCAACUUUGUACUGAAUACAUUACAACCUCCCAAGUACCUAUUCACAUAACCAUGUGCUGUUAGUUAACCUCUGGACUACUAUGUGGAGUAUUUUAAUACUUAACUCAAACCAUUAUUGUAUGUAGGAAAAGAGGUUCUCUUGUUGGAAAAAACUACUGUCAAAUGUUGUGAGGAUUAAAGUGUAUAUAUAAAGUGUCUAAUGUAAGAGCACAUAGCAGAUAGUAGAUGGAAGACUAUGGAGAUGUGUAUAUGUAUGUUUUCAUGUAUUUCUCAAGCACAGUGCUUUAUGCUUAUUUCUUUUUCCAACGCCUACCACAAUACCCUAAAAUAACACUAAUGAUGAUUAUGGCAUUGGUCUGAAUUUCAAAUCAGAAACUUUUGCUUCUUUUCAUGAAAAAGAUGCAAGCACUCAGAAGAGAAUUUUUUCUUCCUACCAUCAAAGCUACUAGCCCACCCUUAUAUCAAUACAUAAACUUUGCCUUCUCUCCUGUUAUAGCAAGUGAACUUUCUAAGCUUUUUUCCAAGGCCAACCCUCUAUCCUCUCUUGCCUUCUUAAGGUCUUUGUUCCCAUCAGUUUUCCUCUCUGUAUUAGAUCAUUCCCUUGAGCAGAAAACAUUAUCUCUAUCUUUUAAGAGUGCUUUUGACUCUGUAUCUCCUUGAAGCUACUACCCUAUUCUUAGGCUUCUCUUUUGUAACAAAUUUCUUGGAAGAGUUACCUAUAAUUGCUUUCAUCACUUCUUUACCUUCCAUUCUCUAAUGGCACUCAUUCUGGUCAAACUCCACUCUACUCCACUCCCCAGAAACUGCUGUUGCAAUGUAACUUAUUGUGCUUUAUUUUUUUUUCAUUGCAAAUAAUACCAUAGGACCCUUUCUUAAUUUGAAAGCUAUUGUCUGUCUUCCUCAUUGGAAGUCAAGCUUCAAAGGACAGGGAAUUGCUGUGUUUUUUUACUACCAUUCUCCCAUCCAUGGCACUCAGUAAGACCUCAGUGAAAGCUUUGUCCAAAUGAUGUAAUACAUUGACUUUUAGAUUUUUAAUUACAUGCAGUAUAUAAAAUUUCCAUUGGGAUUUCAGCAUUCUUUAUUUAUGGAUGCUACAAAUUUUGCAAGAAUUUUGUUACAAUUUUGCAAGGAUUUGAAGAUUACUAAAAUAAAAGGUUUUAUAUAGUGCAUAUUUUGCAAGCAUGUAUCAUCACUAUUAUUUUAUCCCAAGGUAAGCAAUGAUGUUUUACUUUGUAGUAUACCGUCCAUAGCUAUUAGCUGAUAUUAAUCUUAUUUUAUGUACUGGGAAAGGAGGUUUGUAACUUAUAUCUUAGAGAUCUGGAAAUUAAGGCACUUAAGAGCCAAGAGCCCUUCCUGUGACAUCUAACUGCAUAAAUGAUGAAAUGCAGACUAGUAUAAAGCUUUUGAUUAUCUAAUUAGUUUAAUUUCCACUAGCAUCCCCCAUUACCAACCCCACCUCAUAAUUUCAUUGACACUUAAGUUAUUAUCAUAAUUAUAUUAAAUGGAAAAAAACUUCCUCCUGGAUGUUAAGGCAAUUUAUACAUGAAGAAUAUGAAAUCAGAGAUAUUACACAAGUAAAUGAAAUAGGUAUUACUUUCACAUUUCAACACUCUGAUGAGUAGGAGAAAUUCAACAUAAUGCACUGAGUAAAAAGAUAAAAUUAAGGAGCACCGUUAAAUGUGUUCAUAAAAUGCAUUAUCAUGUUCAAAGGGGAUUACGAUCACCUUAGUCUAUGGUGUUAUAUUUGCAGUAAACAGCCAUCUGUGUCCACAUAAACAUGUCUUUUCCAUUUUCCCGUGGCCCUUUUUAUCAGUAGUAAACAGUAACUAAACAGCAAGAUAAGGCAGCAUGUUAAAUACACCAAAACUUUGCUAACUGAAGAUACCAGGGAUUCAUUGUUAUACUUGAACACUAUUUCAAGCUAUUUUUCAGAAAUGGAGUAACAGGAACAGCAUGUUAAUUAUCCAUGUAUAUUCACAAUAAAACAAUUUUAUGAAUACUUUAUUUUCAUACUGCCACUAAAUUCAUCUUUUUAAAAAUAGGUCUUACCUACUGAUUUCUUAAAGAAAAUAGAUACAAGAAAUUUCAAGGACAAAAGUGAUAUUAGACGUAACAAUGCAAAAGUGAUUUUAAAUAUACGUUUGUAGGCUACUUGAUCACCUUCAACUAUCAACCCACGGCUCAACAGUCUCAGGGUUAUCCUUCUACUAGAUCUCUCAGCAGCAUUUGGCAUCGGUUAACCUCCCCCCUCCUUCUUGUCUUCCACAAAACCAUUGCUGCCGGGUUUUCCUUCUAUUUCUCCACACUCCUUAUCUGUCUGUUUCAUUGGGUUAAGUAUUAGUCCUGUUAGGGUUAGUCCUGUUAAAUGUUAGUGUCUCUCCAAUCUCUGUUCUAGGCCCUCUUCUCCACAUUCUGCACAUACUUCUUGAACAAUCUUACCCCUUCACUGUGUUUCAAUUACUUCAUAUGAUCAGGCUAUGGUUCCUAAACUCACUACAGUAGUGUCAGUUCUGAACACCAGUUCUGUACCCCAGUAGCCACUUGAUAUCCCUGCAAGGAUGUCUUAAAGUAUCUCAAGAAUUCAACAUUUGCAGGCCCAUCCUGUUGCCUGAGCCAAAAAUAUGGUCACUAAAGUAGACUCUACUUAUGCCCCUUGUCAUAUCCGCUCAGCCCACCCCUGACUCCCUUUCACUUCAGGUCAUUGUCUCUGAUUUCCUGCCUCAGGGCUUUCACCAAAAUUCUAAGAAUUGGCUCAACAGGAGACAGAUACCACUCAAUCACAGAGGAAUUAACAACCCUGGAGGCAACCCUAAACCAAAGGGAGGUGAGAGUCAGAGAACAAAGGCCUGGCCCCCCAUGUUUCAGAAGACACUGUUGAAGAGCUUUCAGCAUGGAUUCUCACAGGGUCCCAUUCAAGAUUGUGCCCUGGUUUUUUACAACAAAAAACAAUGCAGUAUUGUACUCUUUAUUGGCUCAAGCCCCCCCUUCCCUGACCGACUCUCCCUGUUCUCUCAUUCUGACUUCUUGUAAUCACCUCUAGAAUUAACCUCCUCUGUACCCUAGUCCUUGACUCUGCCUUGCUUCAGGGGGAACCCACACUAACAGUCUCUCCCUUGUCUUCCUCCUUUAUCCAUCAUAUCUGGUCAUCAAUCAUCAGGUACUGUUGAUUCCAACCCUGACUUUAUCCUACUGUUAGGUCACCAUGGACUCUUUUUACCUGAAUAAUGCUAUAAACAACAACUGAUCUCCCUGCCUUUGGAAUUGCCCAUCACCCCUCACCAAAUUACUCUCCACUGGGAAGUCAGAGUGUAUUUUCUAAACAGACUCUGUGAUCCUAUUUACAUGCUCAUAAAAACCUUCCAUUAUUCCCCAUUGCCUUUAGCAUAUUGUUCUUAACAUGUUUUGUAACUAACCUAGCCCUGGUUUUCCUCCCCAGCCCCAUCUCUCAGCCUUCCUAUGUCACAUGGCAAGUUACUCAUAUUGAGCUUUUGGGUUCCUGACCAGCAUCAAGGUCGGUCAUUUCAGGGCCUCUUCACAAGCAUCUCUCUCCUCUCAGAUGCUCUUUUCUUCCCUCCUCAUCAUCACUUCCACUCAUCUCUACCAUUCCUAGUUUAGAUGGCACUUACCCUUGUAACCUCUUCUGAUGUUAUUUUUGGGAAAGUGCCCCUCCUAUGUAUUCUUAAAACAUAUUGCUCUGUAUUUUAAUUGCCUAUUAAUUUGUUUAUGUCCUCCACUCAGUUAUGCUUUUUGAGGGUUUCUAUUUCUCAUUGUGUCCUAAGUACUGAAUAUAUUUUAGAUAUUCAAUAAAUAUUGGUAGAAUAAA